UACAGAGGAUGCAAGCGUUAUCCGGAAUGAUUGGGCGUAAAGCGUCUGUAGGUGGCUUUUUAAGUCCGCCGUCAAAUCCCAGGGCUCAACUCUGGACAGGCGGUGGAAACUACCAAGCUGGAGUACGGUAGGGGCAGAGGGAAUUCCCGGUGUAGUGGUGAAAUGCGUAGAUAUUGGGAGGAACACCAGUGGCGAAGGCGGCUCACUGGACUGGUACUGACGCUGAUGCGCGAAAGCGUGGGGAGCAAACAGG
RNAcentral lists this ribosomal RNA (253 nucleotides) under uncultured bacterium. RNAcentral describes it as "partial 16S ribosomal RNA". It matches the Rfam family "Bacterial small subunit ribosomal RNA", at positions 524 to 776 of the family's 1533-position model. The record is from RNAcentral.